GAUGAAGAACGCAGCGAAAUACGAUAAGUAAUGUGAAUUGCAGAAUUCAGUGAAUCAUCGAAUCUUUGAACGCACAUUGCGCCCCCUGGUAUUCCGGGGGGCAUGCCUGUUCGAGCGUCAUUUCACCACUCAAGCCUCGCUUGGUAUUGGGCAACGCGGUCCGCCGCGUGCCUCAAAUCGACCGGCUGGGUCUUCUGUCCCCUAAGCGUUGUGGAAACUAUUCGCUAAAGGGUGUUCGGGAGGCUACGCCGUAAAACAACCCCAUUUCUAAGGUUGACCUCGGAUCAGGUAGGGAUACCCGCUGAACUUAAGCAUAUCAAUAAGCGGAGGA
RNAcentral lists this unclassified non-coding RNA (331 nucleotides) under soil metagenome. RNAcentral's name for it is "partial contains 5.8S ribosomal RNA, internal transcribed spacer 2, and large subunit ribosomal RNA". The stretch from base 1 to 120 matches the Rfam family "5.8S ribosomal RNA", at positions 35 to 154 of the family's 154-position model. The record is from RNAcentral.